UUUUACUUCGUUCUUCCCAGCCAAAUUAUUUGGUGUGCAUAUCUGUCCAGAAAAAGGUAAGUAUUUAAAUAUGAAAGAUUGACAUCAAAAUAUCAUUUAAAUGCUUUUUUUAGCAGUUUUCAUAUGGAAUCUUUACAAAUAAUGAUAUAGAAAUGAGAAACCCCUGAUCCUGUUUAAAUGUAAACGGAAAAAGUUCAGAAUGUCACUUUCUAUCCUGUUUUUUCUUUCAUCGCCAUAACUUGUACGCCAAGUCUCGAAAUGUGUUCUGUAAGCCUGAAAGAGCACACAAAAUAGUCACACAUCAAACUAAUAUAUUCAAAUUAAUCGAUGUAAUAUUGUGUCGCAGGUUAUAUUGUUUGAAAGAACAGAAUAUCGCAAUGAAACAUCUAUAUAUUUCGUUCUUGAUUUUGUUGUCACAAGUAUAUGGAACAUGUGGAGGGUGGUGGUUUUCUUCUAAUAAUGAAGAAACUCAUGACCCUUUAAAGACUCAGAUGAUUUCCAGUGCCGUUGGUGCUGAAUUUUCCAUUCAAACUCUAGAUAACGACGUAAAGGGAAUGAAUUUGGUCGAGAGUGCUAAAUUAGUUAUGCUUACAUCAAAAUCUUGCUCGUUGAAUGCGUAUCAAGAUUUAUCUGCAGGAUGUUCGAAGAUUGUUGCAGAGGAAGAAUUGAAGUAUAAACUGGCUUGGGAUCUCAGUGAUUGCUUUCAACAGCACACUGGACGGCCUGCCUUUCCUCUUUGUGAUUCAAGAAAAAAUCCCAUGAAGAAAUGCCUUCAGAAAUUGAGUGAUGAUUCACAUAAAGUUUUCUUAGAGUUUUUCCUUCAAAUUAAUACAAUCUGUCAUCAAUUACAGUAUGUUUCCCUUCUCUUUAAAAGCUUGGAAAGAAAUUUUCGAGAUUCGUUCAUUUUUCCCUUUUUUGAGUUAAUAUUUUAAAUAAUUUUGCAGGAUUCAUGCCUUCAAGCAUCAAACUGAGAGACUGGUAAACGAAUUGAAAAGAUCUGCAGAGUAUGCAGAAGAAAAACUCGAAGACAUUGAAGAACAAGGGAAGGAAUUAUUGCAAAACUCGUAUCAAAUUUAUAAUUCUUUGGCUUCCAUUGACAUCCAAACUCACCAGUUGGCAGAAACAUCGAAAAAUGUUGAAGAUCAUGUAAAUGUUGUGAAGAAGUACACAGAGGUAGUCCAUGAACAAUCGAAGGGAAUAGCAGCUUCGCAGUUAGAGUUAAGUGAAAGUCAAAAGAAAAUGAAAGAGAACCUGGAUGCAGGGAUAUCAAUGCUCCAUGAUUCAUAUGAUAAUUUGGGCAUUGAAAUAAAUAACUUAAGGGAUGAAACGGUAGAAAUAGAGAAGGAGAUUGGUAAAGUUGGAGAGGAAAUGUUUACGAAAAUGUCGACUCUGCAGAAUAAAGCUGACGAUAUUGAGAAUAUGACUGGAAAUUCAUUGGAUAAGCAAAAACAACUUUUGGAUGCUCAAACAGCAGCACUCGACGGUCUUCAGUUUCUUACUAAAUUUCAGUCUCAAGCACUUGAAGAGAACAGGUAAAUAGAUAGAGCAGUGUUGUAACAUAAUGUACAUUAGCUUUAAAACCUGGAUCGAAUUUGUAUGCACUUACUACAAUUUUAAUAUGUUAAAAGGGAUACCUUGCAACAAAUGGCUGAAUUUGGGAAGAACCAACAAGAGGAGCUUCUUCGACGGCAAGAGCAACUUCAACAGGCUCAUGAUCAUCUAGUUGCAAAUUCAAAGACAAUAUUAGCGGCUCAGGUGUGACAUUUUUUGACGGCAUCCUCUUUAAAGUACUUAAAUAUUCGACUUUUGUCAUAGCGUUUCUCAAAUUUCACCAUUCUUUACAGGAAGCUUUUGAAUCGAAGCAAGCCAGCAUGUUCAUAGCAAUAGACAAGCUUUUUGCCUUGCAUAAUGCUUUGCUUCUUGAAUCUCGAGCAAUUAAAGCUUUCUUCUUUUAUUCAUUAAUAAUCCUCGUGCUCUACAUCUUUACCAGUAUGAAGCAAACGUACAAUGUACGACCCAGGCUCUACAUAGGUAAGUAUCACACAUCUAAUUGAUGCAAAACUUGAAGAUAUCCAGUUCAUUUGAAUUUCAUAGUAGUUCUUGUUUGCAGGAUUAUGUGUCACAUUUGUUAUCGAGUUAAUCAUACUUCGCCGUGCAACAUACGAUAUUGAACAAAUGGGAUGGAUAAUAACCUCUCUUAGGUCAAUUUUCCUGGUUCUAGCCGCAAUCCAACUUCUGUAUGCCAUUAACACAUACAGGUAGAAGACUGAAAUUGCGAUUAUAAGUUAUUUUCAGGUAAUGUGAUGCAUUAUAUAUUAUGUCUAACAAAUAAUUUGCAAAUUAUGCAGAGACUAUGAAAUGCUAAACCAUCAGAUGCUAUUAACACUAAUGGACAAGAUUAAUGGCUUGCAUGGCUUGCAAAGCAACGAAGAAUCGUUAUUGGACAUGGAUGAGGAGAGUGACGUCAACUGGUCUUUAUGGGUUGAUUGUGAGUUACCAGAAGAUGUAGACAAAUCAGAGGACCCUGACUUCGUGGUUGCAGAGGAAGGUAGAGAGUUUUCACUUGAAUCC
This 2571-nucleotide long non-coding RNA is filed under the name Olea europaea (common olive). Its description in RNAcentral is "long non-coding RNA (OEUR_LNC009384)". The record is from RNAcentral. Lineage: Eukaryota; Viridiplantae; Streptophyta; Magnoliopsida; Lamiales; Oleaceae.